GACGAACGCUGGCGGCGUGCUUAACACAUGCAAGUCGAACGGAAAGGCCCUGCUUUUGUGGGGUGCUCGAGUGGCGAACGGGUGAGUAACACGUGAGUAACCUGCCCUUGACUUUGGGAUAACUUCAGGAAACUGGGGCUAAUACCGGAUAGGAGCUCCUGCUGCAUGGUGGGGGUUGGAAAGUUUCGGCGGUUGGGGAUGGACUCGCGGCUUAUCGGCUUGUUGGUGGGGUAGUGGCUUACCAAGGCUUUGACGGGUAGCCGGCCUGAGAGGGUGACCGGCCACAUUGGGACUGAGAUACGGCCCAGAAUCCUACGGGAGGCAGCAGUGGGGAAUAUUGCACAAUGGGCGGAAGCCUGAUGCAGCAACGCCGCGUGCGGGAUGACGGCCUUCGGGUUGUAAACCGCUUUCGCCUGUGACGAAGAGGGAGUGACGGUAAUGGGUAAAGAAGCACCGGCUAACUACGUG
Molecule: ribosomal RNA, 468 nt
Filed under: uncultured bacterium
Lineage: Bacteria
Description: partial 16S ribosomal RNA
Rfam family: Bacterial small subunit ribosomal RNA
Source: RNAcentral